CAGUAACAUUGCCUGGCCAAAGGGCUGCUGUGAAUGACCCAGAGUUUCUCAGGGACUUGGCCAGUCAGUGGCAGCUUCAGCUACCCAUGUAACAUCCCUGUCUCUUGCAGCCAUGGAGACUUGAGACUUCCUGCUGAACUCUGAGAUGGCAUUUGCUGCAUUUUUAUCAGGACAGAAGAUUCCCACCCCCGCCCCCCAACUUUCUCUGCAGUACUACAGGCUCGGAGUUUGAUUUGGUAGUGCAAAAUAAGGUUCCAGAUUACCUCUUUAAACUAAUGUACACAAGUGUAAAAUGGAAGAUGACAGUAGAAGAAAAACUGACAAAGUACCUCAACUACUGUAUAUCGCUUGUAGGCUUGCUUCAUGA
Molecule: long non-coding RNA, 367 nt
Organism: Alligator mississippiensis (American alligator)
Lineage: Eukaryota; Metazoa; Chordata; Crocodylia; Alligatoridae
Exons: 3
Source: RefSeq, a predicted model, not a curated record